RNAcentral lists this ribosomal RNA (500 nucleotides) under uncultured bacterium. RNAcentral's name for it is "partial 16S ribosomal RNA". It matches the Rfam family "Bacterial small subunit ribosomal RNA", at positions 28 to 507 of the family's 1533-position model. The record is from RNAcentral.
GACGAACGCUGGCGGCGUGCCUAAUACAUGCAAGUCGUGCGGACCUUGUUGAAAGCUUGCUUUUAAGAGGUUAGCGGCGGACGGGUGAGUAACACGUGGGCAACCUGCCUGUAAGACUGGGAUAACGCCGGGAAACCGGGGCUAAUACCAGAUCGUUUUUUCCUCCGCAUGGAGGAAAAAGGAAAGGCGGCUUCGGCUGCCACUUACAGAUGGGCCCGCGGCGCAUUAGCUAGUUGGCGGGGUAAUGGCCCACCAAGGCAACGAUGCGUAGCCGACCUGAGAGGGUGAUCGGCCACAUUGGGACUGAGACACGGCCCAAACUCCUACGGGAGGCAGCAGUAGGGAAUCUUCCGCAAUGGACGAAAGUCUGACGGAGCAACGCCGCGGGAGUGAAGAAGGCCUUCGGGUCGUAAAACUCUGUUGCCGGGGAAGAACAAGUGCCGUUCGAACAGGGCGGCGCCUUGACGGUACCCGGCCAGAAAGCCACGGCUAACUACGUG